This is a non-coding RNA of Acanthosepion pharaonis, 95 nucleotides long. Lineage: Eukaryota; Metazoa; Mollusca; Cephalopoda; Sepiida; Sepiidae. The record is from the annotation of a GenBank genome assembly.
UUAAAACACCAGUUCUCAUGUGAUCACCAAAGUUAAGCAACAUCAAGCCUGGAUAGUACCUAGAUGGGUGACCACUUGGGAAUACCAGGUGCUAC